GGGUCAGUAGGUUGGUCGUGCCACCGGUACGUACUGGUCUCACUGACUCCUCCUUCCUGAAGAACCGUAAUGCCAUUAAUUUGGUGUUGCGGGGAAACAGGACUGUUACUUUGAAAAAAUUAGAGUGUUUAAAGCAAGCUAACGCUUGAAUACAUUAGCAUGGAAUAAUGAAAUAGGACGAUCGAUCCUAUUUUGUUGGUCUCUAGGAUUGACGUA
Molecule: ribosomal RNA, 216 nt
Filed under: Glomeromycotina sp.
Lineage: Eukaryota; Fungi; Glomeromycota
Description: partial small subunit ribosomal RNA
Rfam family: Eukaryotic small subunit ribosomal RNA (bases 75-216)
Source: RNAcentral